CGAAAGCCUGACGGAGCAACGCCGCGUGAGGGACGAAGGCCUCUGGGCUGUAAACCUCUUUUCUCAAGGAAGAAGAUCUGACGGUACUUGAGGAAUAAGCCACGGCUAAUUCCGUGCCAGCAGCCGCGGUAAUACGGGAGUGGCAAGCGUUAUCCGGAAUUAUUGGGCGUAAAGCGUCCGCAGGCGGUUCUGUAAGUCUGCCGUUAAAGCGUGGAGCUUAACUCCAUUUCAGCGGUGGAAACUACAAGGCUUGAGUGUGGUAGGGGCAGAGGGAAUUCCCGGUGUAGCGGUGAAAUGCGUAGAUAUCGGGAAGAACACCAGUGGCGAACGCGCUCUGCUGGGCCAUAACUGACGCUCAUGGACGAAAGCCAGGGGAGCG
This 379-nucleotide ribosomal RNA is filed under the name uncultured cyanobacterium. Its description in RNAcentral is "bacterial SSU rRNA". It matches the Rfam family "Bacterial small subunit ribosomal RNA", at positions 376 to 770 of the family's 1533-position model. Lineage: Bacteria; Bacillati; Cyanobacteriota. The record is from RNAcentral.